This is a long non-coding RNA of Priapulus caudatus, 593 nucleotides long. RefSeq lists it as uncharacterized. The record is from RefSeq and is a predicted model, not a curated record. The transcript has 2 exons. Lineage: Eukaryota; Metazoa; Priapulida; Priapulimorpha; Priapulimorphida; Priapulidae.
UGACAUUACAACGGACCAAGCACAUUUAAGAAAUCCAUGCCGACUAAUUCCAUACCGGAUGUAAUGAUUGGAGGAAGGAACCGAGAAUAUCUCAGCACAGGUGGCCAAAACAGGCGCGCGCUCGCCGGCUUCUUGUUUCCGCCUGUAAGGACGCAAGCAGACGCCAUCGUUAAUAGAUUAUCGAUCUGGGGACGUGAUCAGGGACAAUACAAAUGGAGAAUAGACACUAGCUAAUAACUUUAAGGGCAUAUUUAUUAAAAGGAUUGGAAUGUAUUGAAGAUUAAAAAUUAAUCAUCAAAAAUAACAAGUUUAUCUAGUAUAUAUCGUGAUGGUCAAUGCUACAUAGAUGUAAGCAAUAAUACGUAUUGUAGUACGUAUAUUGUGAAUAUCAUUACUACGCAUGCAUUUCACAGCAGUGUUGUGCAUACCUGUGACACAGCUGACUGCUACACCAAUCAGUGUACAUGCUAUGACGCUGAUCAUCGCGUACCACAUGUACGAUAUCCUGUACAUAUAAUUUCCAUUUGCGCUCUCUACUAUACUCGGGUUUGUAGCUAUAGCUGUCAUCUGAUUUACAUCCCUAAAUAUAGCAA